RNAcentral lists this ribosomal RNA (889 nucleotides) under uncultured bacterium. RNAcentral describes it as "bacterial SSU rRNA". It matches the Rfam family "Bacterial small subunit ribosomal RNA", at positions 8 to 916 of the family's 1533-position model. The record is from RNAcentral.
AGAGUUUGAUCAUGGCUCAGGACGAACGCUGGCGGCGUGCUUAACACAUGCAAGUCGAGCGGAAAGGCCCUUCGGGGUACUCGAGCGGCGAACGGGUGAGUAACACGUGAGUAACCUGCCCCUGACUCUGGGAUAAGCCUGGGAAACCGGGUCUAAUACCGGAUAUGACCACUCCGGGCAUCCGGUGGUGGUGGAAAGUUUUUUCGGUUGGGGAUGGGCUCGCGGCCUAUCAGCUUGUUGGUGGGGUGAUGGCCUACCAAGGCGACGACGGGUAGCCGGCCUGAGAGGGCGACCGGCCACACUGGGACUGAGACACGGCCCAGACUCCUACGGGAGGCAGCAGUGGGGAAUAUUGCGCAAUGGGCGGAAGCCUGACGCAGCGACGCCGCGUGGGGGAUGACGGCCUUCGGGUUGUAAACCUCUUUCGGCAGGGACGAAGUUGACGUGUACCUGUGGAAGAAGCGCCGGCUAACUACGUGCCAGCAGCCGCGGUAAUACGUAGGGCGCGAGCGUUGUCCGGAAUUAUUGGGCGUAAAGAGCUCGUAGGUGGCUUGUCGCGUCUGCCGUGAAAGCCCGUGGCUUAACUGCGGGUCUGCGGUGGAUACGGGCAGGCUAGAGGCUGGUAGGGGCAAGUGGAAUUCCUGGUGUAGCGGUGAAAUGCGCAGAUAUCAGGAGGAACACCGGUGGCGAAGGCGGCUUGCUGGGCCAGUUCUGACGCUGAGGAGCGAAAGCGUGGGGAGCGAACAGGAUUAGAUACCCUGGUAGUCCACGCUGUAAACGUUGGGCGCUAGGUGUGGGGGUCUUCCAUGGUUCCUGUGCCGUAGCUAACGCAUUAAGCGCCCCGCCUGGGGAGUACGGCCGCAAGGCUAAAACUCAAAUGAAUUGACGG